AACGAACGCUGGCGGCGGGUUUAGGCAUGCAAGUCGAGCGAGAAAGUCUUCGGACGAGUAAAGCGGCGUAAGGGUGAGUAAUAGGUAGUCAACGUAUCCACGAGACGCGAAUAAUUCCCCGAAAGGGGUUGUAAUGCGCGAUGAGACCACAGUUCCCACGGGGAUCGAGGUCAAAGGUUCGGGAUCCUUCGGGACCGAGCGGCUCAUGGAGCGGACGACCUCCGAUUAGCUAGAUGGCGGGGUAAGGCCCACCAUGGCGAUGAUCGGUAGCCGGCCUGAGAGGGUGUUCGGCCACACUGGGACUGAGCACUGCCCAGACUCCUACGGGAGGCUGCAGUCGCGAAUCAUUCACAAUGGACGCAAGUCUGAUGAUGCCACGCCGCGUGC
RNAcentral lists this ribosomal RNA (387 nucleotides) under uncultured bacterium. RNAcentral's name for it is "bacterial SSU rRNA". It matches the Rfam family "Bacterial small subunit ribosomal RNA", at positions 29 to 404 of the family's 1533-position model. The record is from RNAcentral.